Molecule: long non-coding RNA, 1906 nt
Organism: Paralichthys olivaceus (Japanese flounder)
Lineage: Eukaryota; Metazoa; Chordata; Actinopteri; Pleuronectiformes; Paralichthyidae
Source: RefSeq, a predicted model, not a curated record
UUGGCACGUAGAAUGGCGGAGACUGGGAUCAAGCUGCUGAACCCCUGGUUAUUGGAUGACCCGCUCUGCCUCCUGAGCUACAGCAGCCCUGAAGGCACCAUCUUAAAUUUCACAGUGACAAAGCCAGCGUGUGUGCUUAGAGAACAAAAUAGUACAUGUAAGUUGUGCGUUAAUCUUCACAAUUCUUUUUAGGGGCUGGAAUUCAUGUAGAAGCUUGACUGAAAUAUGGACCAGGUUAGUAUCUGCUGAUAUCAGUUUCCAGAUGCUGUAUCAGCCAAUAAGACGGAACAGAAACACCAAAGAUUUUGAUUCAUUUGGGGCUUCUUUUAGCUUUACAUCUGUUAGGUGUUACGGCUGUGUGUGUGUCUGUUUCUCUCUUGUCUCUCCUCCAGCUCCACCCUGAUUAACUGAUCAGUCAUCAGUGAGGUGCACCUGGCCUGUGGAUUGAGGUUCAUUAAAACCUCCUGUGUCAGGAGCAGAGGCUUCCAGUGUGGGGACUGUUGGUUCUGAUGGGCUUCAACCUGGGAUUUUAACAUGAUUAAUACAUGUCGUUCGCCACAUAAUUGUGGGGCGUAACAAUUGGGGGCUCGUCUGGGAUAGAACAUCCAUGAGGAAUUCGGCGCUGUAACCGCUUCACUGGAUCUACAACUAUUGUACACGUGGGAGUGGUUUGACUCCACAAAGUAUCUGUAUCUUAUAUCACUGGCAUGUUAUUAUACCAGCAUAUCAAUCCAUGUGAGGACAAAUAAAGUGUAUUAUUGUCUUUGGCCUCAGUCCCCUCCACAGUCCCCAGCAAGUGACUUUCUCGCAGAUCCCACAGUUACCAGUUAGCGGUGGCUUCUAACGUUACACAGUGUGAGAAGUUUCACUCAACCGUUGAUGUCCAACGUGAUGACAGAGACACUGGGAAAUCUCCCCCUGGCUUUUUGCAGUUUGAAGCAAGACGCAGGAGGCCGAGAGUCUCAUCCGUGAGCUGCUGGAGCUUUUCAUGGUCGUCACAGACACUCGGUCCUGGACCAAGAGCGCACGAGGAACAUCUGGAGCACACAGACGUUACACAUGUCCUGUAUGCAGGAUCCACCCGACUUCUCACUCUUCACCAAGACAGGCCAGGUGAUCAAGGGUGAGUCAUAUCUCCCCGUCUACUGCUGUUGCAGAAGGACAGUGAGGGGUGUCUCGCACACACACUGGAACCUGGUUUUGAGGAAUGCCAUCCGUAAUGCUCCCUCCCACCUGGCACUAACAACCAGGACAAGCAUCCAGCUGUUUUCAGUGAAUCAGAACAUCCUCUCUCAGUGGAACAAAUGCUUCACAACCAGCUGGAGCUGAAGCAGCCAGAAACUCAGAGGACUGGGCAGAUGUGAAGAUUUGGCCCCCCUCCUUCGUGAUGUGAAGCCUCUGUGGGCAGCAAAAAAUUAACGCACAGUCAGGAGUUGUUGUUGACUAAGAUAGGGGUGCAGUCAGAUUCAGCUGGGUCACCCCUGGAUAAGCAUGUUUUUCUAAUUAGUUUGCAGCAUUUAGAAUUAUAAAAUACAUUUUUGUUAAUCUGGUACUUUCAUGUACAAUGUUACAAAUUGCUUUUCAAAGAGUAAAAAGCACCAGGCAGGCAGAUACAAUGAGAAUUAAACAAUAGAACAUGAGCAAAACUAAAUAAAUAAAUAGGAUUAGUAGACCAUUACACUAUUUUAAAAGCUUUCAGGAAAAAGAAAAGUUUUGAGAAAGGAUUUAAAAGAAAGAGGAGACAUGGGUGGUGAGUUUCAUAAUGUGGGGCUCUGAGAGCAGGGGCUUGCUCAACCUUUGUUUCCAGCUGUGACCUGGGAGUGACCUGCAGGGAUCCAUCUGCUGAUCUCAAUAAAUCUGACAAAUAUUUGGCUGCAAAGCCAUUCAGGGCUUUAAACAUGAGCAA